RNAcentral lists this non-coding RNA (755 nucleotides) under candidate division WWE3 bacterium RIFCSPLOWO2_02_FULL_53_10. RNAcentral's name for it is "bacterial SSU rRNA". It matches the Rfam family "Bacterial small subunit ribosomal RNA", at positions 1 to 810 of the family's 1533-position model. Lineage: Bacteria; candidate division WWE3. The record is from RNAcentral.
UUUUUUGAGAGUUUGAUCCUGGCUCAGGAUGAACGCUGGCGGCGUGCCUAAGGUAUGCAAGUCGAACGCGCUCCGCAAGGAGUGGCGUGGCGGACGGGUGAGUAACGCGUGGGAAUCUACCUCCAAGUCAGUGAUAACCCCGAGAAAUCGGGGACAAUCACCGAUAGUCCCGCAAGGGUAAAGAUUUAUCGCUUGGAGAUGGGCCCGCGUCCCAUCAGCUAGUUGGUAGGGUAACGGCCUACCAAGGCUACGACGGGUAGGGGGUGUGAGAGCAUGACCCCCCACAAUGGCACUGAGACAAGGGCCAUACGCCUACGGGUGGCAGCAAUCGGGAAUCUUGCACAAUGGACGCAAGUCUGAUGCAGCGACGCCGCGUGAAGGAUGAAGGUCGAAAGAUUGUAAACUUCUUAAUUUGCCGAAAGGCAGAGGAUGAAGCCCCGGCUAACUACGUGCCAGCAGCAGCGGUAAAACGUAGGGGGCGAGCGUUAUCCGGAUUUACUGGGCUUAAAGAGUACGUAGGUGUUUCGGGAAGUCUUGGCUUAAAGCCCGCGGCUCAACCGCGGAACGUGUCGAGAUACUUCCGAAAUUGAGGAAGGUAGGGGGUGGCGGAACAUUGCAAGGAGGGGUGAAAUCCGAUGAUCUGCGAUGGAACACCGAAAGCGAAGGCAGCCACCUGGGCCUUUCCUGACACUGAGGUACGAAAGCUAGGGGAGCGAAACGGAUUAGAUACCCGUGUAGUCCUAGCCGUAAACGAU